UACGUAGGGUGCAAGCGUUUGUCCGGAAUUAUUGGGCGUAAAGAGCUUGUAGGCGGUUUGUCGCGUCUGCUGUGAAAUUUCGGGGCUCAACCCCCGAACUUGCAGUGGGUACGGGCAGACUAGAGUGUGGUAGGGGAGACUGGAAUUCCUGGUGUAGCGGUGAAAUGCGCAGAUAUCAGGAGGAACACCGAUGGCGAAGGCAGGUCUCUGGGCCACUACUGACGCUGAGAAGCGAAAGCAUGGGGGAGCGAACAGG
Molecule: ribosomal RNA, 256 nt
Filed under: uncultured bacterium
Lineage: Bacteria
Description: partial 16S ribosomal RNA
Rfam family: Bacterial small subunit ribosomal RNA
Source: RNAcentral